RNAcentral lists this unclassified non-coding RNA (336 nucleotides) under soil metagenome. RNAcentral describes it as "partial contains 5.8S ribosomal RNA, internal transcribed spacer 2, and large subunit ribosomal RNA". The stretch from base 1 to 120 matches the Rfam family "5.8S ribosomal RNA", at positions 35 to 154 of the family's 154-position model. The record is from RNAcentral.
GAUGAAGAACGCAGCGAAAUGCGAUAAGUAGUGUGAAUUGCAGAAUUCAGUGAAUCAUCGAAUCUUUGAACGCACAUUGCGCCCAUUGGUAUUCCAUGGGGCAUGCCUGUUCGAGCGUCAUUUGUACCUUCAAGCUUUGCUUGGUGUUGGGUGUUUGUCUCGCCUUUGCGUGUAGACUCGCCUUAAAAUAAUUGGCAGCCGGCGUAUUGAUUUCGGAGCGCAGUACAUCUCGCGCUUUGCACUCAUAACGACAGCGUCCAAAAGUACAUUUUACACUCUUGACCUCGGAUCAGGUAGGGAUACCCGCUGAACUUAAGCAUAUCAAUAAGCGGAGGA